Molecule: long non-coding RNA, 310 nt
Filed under: Linum usitatissimum (flax)
Lineage: Eukaryota; Viridiplantae; Streptophyta; Magnoliopsida; Malpighiales; Linaceae
Description: long non-coding RNA (LUSI_LNC000994)
Source: RNAcentral
ACCAUCAUCAUGAUGAUUCCCAAAUAUGUCCAUAGGAGAAACGAUGCCUCUCAUUUCGUGAUCCGUGCCCAAAUUUUGGCCCUUGAUAGACCUAACGGGAAGCUCAUCCAACAACUGCUGCAUCAAAAGCCUGACAUCUCCAGGAACCUUAACACACCUAGGGGCAGAACCUUUACGACCCGAGAGAUGCUCCUUCAACCGAUAAAUACCACCACCCUUAAAUAUCUUGCUGCAAUACUUGCACCGAAUCUGCACCCUAUCGUUGUUCCUCAGCGCAUCACAAUGCAUCCACGCCAAGUCUUUUUUCCUC